RNAcentral lists this ribosomal RNA (489 nucleotides) under uncultured bacterium. Its description in RNAcentral is "partial 16S ribosomal RNA". It matches the Rfam family "Bacterial small subunit ribosomal RNA", at positions 28 to 507 of the family's 1533-position model. The record is from RNAcentral.
GAUGAACGCUAGCGGCAGGCUUAAUACAUGCAAGUCGAGGGGAAGCAGGACUGUGGCAAUACCGUUGCUGGCGACCGGGAAACGGGUGCGGAACACGUACGCAACUUACCCUGGACUGGGGGAGAGCCCGGGGAAACCCGGAUUAAUGCCCCGUAAUAUAAUGGUGUGGUAUUCCUUUAUUAUUAAAGCUCCGGCGGUUUGGGAUGGGCGUGCGGCUGAUUAGGUUGUUGGUUGAGGGAAGGGGUGACCAAGCCUCCGAUCAGUAACUGGUGUGAGAGCAGGACCAGUCAGACGGGCACUGAGACAAGGCCCCGACGCCAACGGGAGGCAGCAGUAAGGAAGAUAUGGCAAUGGAGGCAACUCUGACCCAGCCAUGCAGCGUGGAGGAUGAAGGCCCUCUGGGUUGUAAACUUCUGUGAUAGGGGACGAAACCUGUGUAUUCUUACGCAGUUGACGGUACCCUAGGAAUAAGCACCGGCUAACUCCGUG